GACGAACGCUGGCGGCGCGCUUAACACAUGCAAGUCGAGCGAAGCGGCGGACGGGUGAGUAACACGUGAGUAACCUGCCUUAGACAUUGGGAUAGCCUCGGGAAACCGGGAUUAAUACCAAAGUCUAAGAUGGGCUCGCGACCUAUCAGCUUGUUGGUGGGGUGAUGGCCUACCAAGGCGGUGACGGGUAGCCGGCCGGAGAGGGGGACCGGCCACAUUGGGACUGAGAUACGGCCCAGAGUCCUACGGGAGGCAGCAGUGGGGGAUAUUGCACAAUGGGCGAAAGCCUGAUGCAGCGACGCCGCGUGGGGGAUGAAGGCUUUCGGGUUGUAAACCUAUUUCGCGAUCGAACGGGGAGGUGGAGAAGAAGCGCCGGCUAACUACGUGCCAGCAGCCGCGGUAAUAC
RNAcentral lists this ribosomal RNA (406 nucleotides) under uncultured bacterium. Its description in RNAcentral is "partial 16S ribosomal RNA". It matches the Rfam family "Bacterial small subunit ribosomal RNA", at positions 28 to 526 of the family's 1533-position model. The record is from RNAcentral.